Molecule: ribosomal RNA, 449 nt
Filed under: uncultured bacterium
Lineage: Bacteria
Description: partial 16S ribosomal RNA
Rfam family: Bacterial small subunit ribosomal RNA
Source: RNAcentral
AACGAAUGCUGGCGGCAUGCCUAACACAUGCAAGUCGAACGAGAUCUUCGGGUCUAGUGGCGCACGGGUGCGUAACGCGUGGGAAUCUGCCCUUUGGUUCGGAAUAACAGUUGGAAACGACUGCUAAUACCGGAUGAUGACGAAAGUCCAAAGAUUUAUCGCCAGAGGAUGAGCCCGCGUAGGAUUAGCUAGUUGGUGAGGUAAAGGCGCACCAAGGCGACGAUCCUUAGCUGGUCUGAGAGGAUGAUCAGCCACACUGGGACUGAGACACGGCCCAGACUCCUACGGGAGGCAGCAGUGGGGAAUAUUGGACGAUGGGCGAAAGCCUGAUCCAGCAAUGCCGCGUGAGUGAUGAAGGCCUUAGGGUUGUAAAGCUCUUUUACCCGGGAUGAUAAUGACAGUACCGGGAGAAUAAGCUCCGGCUAACUCCGUGCCAGCCGCCGCAGUAA